GGGCGGGUGCUGGAGCCGGUAUACAGGGGGGACUUAAAAUCCCCUGGCCGAAAGGCCUCGUGGGUUCGAACCCCACCCCGCCCACCA
This 87-nucleotide transfer RNA is filed under the name bacterium. RNAcentral describes it as "tRNA-Leu". It matches the Rfam family "tRNA". From Rfam's summary of the family: Transfer RNA (tRNA) molecules are approximately 80 nucleotides in length. The record is from RNAcentral.